CAAACGACUCUCGGCAACGGAUAUCUUGGCUCACGCAUCGAUGAAGAACGCAGCAAAAUGCGAUACUUGGUGUGAAUUGCAGAAUCCCGUGAACCAUCGAGUUUUUGAACGCAAGUUGCGCCCAAAGCCUUUUGGCCGAGGGCACGUCUGCCUGGGCGUCACAUA
This 165-nucleotide ribosomal RNA is filed under the name Jacobaea uniflora. RNAcentral describes it as "5.8S ribosomal RNA". It matches the Rfam family "5.8S ribosomal RNA". Rfam says of the family: 5.8S ribosomal RNA (5.8S rRNA) is a component of the large subunit of the eukaryotic ribosome. Lineage: Eukaryota; Viridiplantae; Streptophyta; Magnoliopsida; Asterales; Asteraceae. The record is from RNAcentral.